GCCUGGGUGGCUCAGUUGGUUGAGCGUCCGACUCUCGAUUGGGGGUCGGGUCGUGAUCUCGAGGUUGUAGGAUCAAGCCUGGCCUCAGGCU
This 91-nucleotide transfer RNA is filed under the name Felis catus (domestic cat). It matches the Rfam family "tRNA". Rfam says of the family: Transfer RNA (tRNA) molecules are approximately 80 nucleotides in length. The record is from Rfam by way of RNAcentral. Lineage: Eukaryota; Metazoa; Chordata; Mammalia; Carnivora; Felidae.